AAACACAGAUAAAAAGAUCAAUAACCUAAAGGGUAUUAUAUUUUCUUAAAUGACUCAUUAAAGGAGCUCAAUAGAUUUCGGGGGCUGGCCCGGAGUCUGAGACGCUUCUGCUUGAGGUUGCUGCAUGUCAUGGUUCACAGCGACUACAGCAGCACAGAGCAUCAGCAGCAGGAC
Perca fluviatilis (European perch) is the source of this 174-nucleotide long non-coding RNA. RefSeq lists it as uncharacterized. NCBI's taxonomy places the organism in Eukaryota, Metazoa, Chordata, Actinopteri, Perciformes, Percidae. The transcript is spliced from 3 exons. The record is from RefSeq and is a predicted model, not a curated record.